RNAcentral lists this long non-coding RNA (1511 nucleotides) under Betta splendens (Siamese fighting fish). RNAcentral describes it as "lncRNA (ENSBSLG00000017120.1)". The record is from RNAcentral. Lineage: Eukaryota; Metazoa; Chordata; Actinopteri; Anabantiformes; Osphronemidae.
AACAGCACCUUUGAUAAAACACAUAGAGAGAAAAAGGAGCCAGGAGUAUACAGAAGGUUUGUAUUUUUUUACUGCACUCAAUAUUAACUUGUAUUUUUCAUUACAUUACAGCAAUGAUGUGAUUGACAUGCUUCUGUUUUUACUUAGAAACAUCAAGGGUAUCUUCUGAGGACGAAUCCCUUGCCUGGCACUCCCCAUGGAGAUCAUCAUCCUCCUCACCCGCCACAAGCACUGCCAACAUUGCUUUUCCAGUGGCUGCCACCACCGCUGCCACCACCGCUGCUUCACUACAAGAAUAUGCUGCAACUACUGAUUCACCAAAGGGUGCUGGGGCCGCAGCCGCCGCAGCCGCCGCAGCCGCCGCAGCCGCCGCAGCCGCCGCAGCCGCCGCAGCCGCCGACGCUGCCGCCACCGCUGCGUCAACUGCUGCUGCCGCUGUGUCAGACAUGGCCACUGCCGCCACCAAAGCUGUGGCAGCAGUCGCCGCCGCUGCUACAACCGCUGUCUCGGCAGCCGCCACCGCCGCUACCUCAGCUGCCUCAGCUGCCUCAGCUGCCUCGGCAGCCGCCACCGCCGCUGCCUCGGCUCCCUCGGCUCCCUCGGCUGCCUCGGCUGCUGCCGCCACCGCUGCUUCCUGUACCCGCCACAGUGGUCCAUCACGGAUGACUGUAUGGAGAAGAAAGAAGGCAAAACAGGAGGAUGCAGAAGCCUUAAAAAAGGAGGAAGGGCGCCAACAACAGCACCCUCAACCUGAAGACCCCUCAGGGCUGGCAACCACACACCGUGGGCCUGUGGCACCGGCCCUGUAUGCCCUGAUCGUCUUUCCUGCCAUGACCUCUGCAGCCUCCACCACCAUCACUGCUUCUCCUGACACAAUCACCACUAUCACCCACCAUGCCAUCUCCAUCACCGCUGCUGCGCCUGCUGCUGCGCCUGCUGCUGCGCCUGCUGCUGCGCCUGCUGCUGCGCCUGCUGCUGCUGCUGCGCCUGCUGCUGCGCCUGCUGCUGCUGCUGCGCCUGCUGCUGCGCCUGCUGCUGCUGCUGCACCUGCUGCUGCUGCUGCUGCUGCUGCUGCUGCUGCUGCUGCUGCUGCUGCUGCUGCUGCUGCUGCUGCUGCUGCUGCUGCUGCUGCUGCUGCUGCUGCUGCUGCUGCUGCACCUGCUGCUGCUGCUGCUGCUGCUGCUGCUGCUGCUGCUGCUGCUGCUGCUGCUGCUGCUGCUGCUGCUGCUCCUGCUGCCGCCGCCGCCGCCGUUCCUCGCUCCACAGCCUGGCAGAGGAGGAUUAGAGAGGAGGAGCUGCGUCGUCAGCGAGAAAGGGGUCUCCCUCUUAAAGAGAGGAAGAUCUUUACACACUUCCGCUGUGGCCGCUGUGGUCAGCCCAAGACCAAACAGUAUGGCCACAGCCGUUACAGGGGAGAGUUCUUCUGUGCCACAUCGGAGGGUCGCUCUGUGGAUGACUGGUUGAAAGAGAAGAGUCGACUGGACCCGAAAUACCAGCAGCCGCGCAGGUGA